AAUAAGAUUAUUUUUCAGUUUUUUGAUAUAAUGCUUUGACUCUUCGUCUUAUUUGAAAUUUUUUUACGAUUAAUAUUUUUAUUUUUACUAGAUGAUAAAGCAUAAAUAGUAUUUUAUGUGUGACUAUUUUUUUAAAUAAGACAAAUGGUCAAACGUUGGACACGAAAAA
This 169-nucleotide microRNA precursor is filed under the name Oryza brachyantha (malo sina). RNAcentral describes it as "MIR812 microRNA precursor family". It matches the Rfam family "MIR812 microRNA precursor family". The record is from Rfam by way of RNAcentral. Lineage: Eukaryota; Viridiplantae; Streptophyta; Magnoliopsida; Poales; Poaceae.